RNAcentral lists this non-coding RNA (21 nucleotides) under Arabidopsis thaliana (thale cress). Lineage: Eukaryota; Viridiplantae; Streptophyta; Magnoliopsida; Brassicales; Brassicaceae. The record is from RNAcentral.
UAGUUUAUUGAGGCUUUCAAU